AGCAGCCGCGGUAAUUCCAGCUCCAAUAGCGUAUAUUAAAGUUGUUGCAGUUAAAAAGCUCGUAGUUGAAUUUCGGGAUUAGUAGGUUGGUCGUGCCUCUGGUAUGUACUCGCCUUACUGGUUCCUCCUUCUUGAAGAACUGUAAUGCCAUUAAUUUGGUGUUGCAGGGAAACAGGACUGUUACUUUGAAAAAUUAGAGUGUUUAAAGCAGGCCAAUGCCUGAAUACAUUAGCAUGGAAUAAUGAAAUAGGACGUUGAUCCUAUUUUGUUGGUUUCUAGGAUUGACGUAAUGAUUAAUAGGGAUAGUUGGGGGCAUUAGUAUUCAAUUGUCAGAGGUGAAAUUCUUGGAUUUAUUGAAGACUAACUACUGCGAAAGCAUUUGCCAAGGAUGUUUUCAUUAAUCAAGAACGAAAGUUAGGGGAUCGAAGACGAUCAGAUACCGUCGUAGUCUUAACCAUAAACUAUGCCG
Molecule: ribosomal RNA, 469 nt
Filed under: uncultured Glomus
Lineage: Eukaryota; Fungi; Glomeromycota; Glomeromycetes; Glomerales; Glomeraceae
Description: SSU rRNA
Rfam family: Eukaryotic small subunit ribosomal RNA
Source: RNAcentral